GUUGGUAUCUUCAAAGUUCGGGACAUCAGCAUUUGUACAUUUUAAUUUGUUUGGAAUAUUUAUUUUACCAUUUGAAAAUUCAUUGUUAUUUGGAGCUGUAUUGGAUUGGAUUGUUUGAAUGAAUGUUUUUUUAAUAAUGAUAUUUUUUGUCUAUUUCGAUAUUACCCAUGUGGAUAGGCUAUAGCAGUGUGACCUAAAGGGCGGAUCCAGCCGUUUUUAAAAAGGGG
Molecule: long non-coding RNA, 227 nt
Filed under: Mytilus galloprovincialis (Mediterranean mussel)
Lineage: Eukaryota; Metazoa; Mollusca; Bivalvia; Mytilida; Mytilidae
Source: RNAcentral